AGAACGAACGCUGGCGGCAGGCUUAACACAUGCAAGUCGAGCGAGGACUUCGGUCCUAGCGGCGGACGGGUGAGUAACGCGUGGGAACGUGCCCCUUUCUUCGGAAUAGCCUCGGGAAACUGGGAGUAAUGCCGGAUACGCCGGGCCAUGGGGACAUGGUUCGGGAAAGAUUUAUCGGAGAGGGAUCGGCCCGCGUUGGAUUAGGUAGUUGGUGGGGUAAUGGCCUACCAAGCCGACGAUCCAUAGCUGGUUUGAGAGGAUGAUCAGCCACACUGGGACUGAGACACGGCCCAGACUCCUACGGGAGACAGCAGUGGGGAAUCUUGGACAAUGGGGGCAACCCUGAUCCAGCCAUGCCGCGUGAACGAUGAAGGCCUUAGGGUUGUAAAGUUCUUUCAGCGGGGAAGAUAAUGACGGUACCCGCAGAAGAAGCCCCGGCUAACUCCGUGCCAGCAGCCGC
RNAcentral lists this ribosomal RNA (460 nucleotides) under uncultured bacterium. RNAcentral describes it as "SSU rRNA". It matches the Rfam family "Bacterial small subunit ribosomal RNA", at positions 26 to 518 of the family's 1533-position model. The record is from RNAcentral.